This 301-nucleotide ribosomal RNA is filed under the name uncultured bacterium. RNAcentral describes it as "partial 16S ribosomal RNA". It matches the Rfam family "Bacterial small subunit ribosomal RNA", at positions 509 to 807 of the family's 1533-position model. The record is from RNAcentral.
CAGCCGCCACGGUAAUACGUAGGGUGCAAGCGUUAAUCGGAAUUACUGGGCGUAAAGCGUGCGCAGGCGGUUUCGUAAGACAGAUGUGAAAUCCCCAGGCUUAACCUGGGAACUGCAUUUGUGACUGCGAGGCUAGAGUGUGUCAGAGGGGGGUGGAAUUCCACGUGUAGCAGUGAAAUGCGUAGAUAUGUGGAGGAACACCGAUGGCGAAGGCAGCCCCCUGGGAUAACACUGACGCUCAUGCACGAAAGCGUGGGGAGCAAACAGGAUUAGAUACCCCUGUAGUCCCUGUCUCUUAUAC